GAGAGGGUUUGUUGGAAAGCCAUUUCAGAGAGGAUGAAGGGUUAAGUAAGGCUAAAAGUUGGGUGAGACUGCUUCACUUUGAAGUUCAGCAUUUAUAGAAUUUUCUUAAUGGCUGGGAAGGCAUUGUUCCAUUCCUCGUGUCGGCAAGCCUGGGAUAAUUUAACAGUAGUUUUCACGUGCAUUCCGCUUCUCCAAAAAUUUUCGACAGAUUGCGCGUGAUUUACGCAACGCAGAUGUGCAAAUUGACAGAUGCUGACACGUCUCGAUAAAGCAGAGGCCUCUUUAAUAUCUGGAAUUUACGCUUCGAGUUCUGAGCUUCAUUGAGGGCAGAGAUUGCAUGUGACAAGUGCUGACGAGGCUGAGAGAGACAGAUGGUUGGAAUCGGUGCUUCGACAGACUGCCCGUCAUUUUCGCAAAGCUGAGUUGCGUGUGAUGGGUGCUGACGAGGCUGAGAUAGUUGACACUCUUCGAUAUCUGGAAUUGGUGGUUUGUGAGCAAGCCCAACUUUUGAGAAAGCUGGCGCCUCUUCGAUUUCUGAGCUCACCUCUUCGAUCUCUGAAAUCCCAUCGUGUGCUGAUUUUUAUAGAGGUAUGCAGGACGUUCAAAGCACUCUUGAAUUUCUGCCUGUAAAAACUCCCGUU
This 641-nucleotide long non-coding RNA is filed under the name Malus domestica (apple). Its description in RNAcentral is "long non-coding RNA (MDOM_LNC019298)". The record is from RNAcentral. Lineage: Eukaryota; Viridiplantae; Streptophyta; Magnoliopsida; Rosales; Rosaceae.